CAGCAGCCGCGGUAAUACAGAGGAUGCAAGCGUUAUCCGGAAUGAUUGGGCGUAAAGGGCUCGCAGGCGGUUUCUUAAGUCUGAUGUGAAAGCCCCCGGCUCAACCGGGGAGGGUCAUUGGAAACUGGGAAACUUGAGUGCAGAAGAGGAGAGUGGAAUUCCACGUGUAGCGGUGAAAUGCGUAGAGAUGUGGAGGAACACCAGUGGCGAAGGCGACUCUCUGGUCUGUAACUGACGCUGAGGAGCGAAAGCGUGGGGAGCGAACAGGAUUAGAACCCGAGUAGUCCCUGUCUCUUAUACC
RNAcentral lists this ribosomal RNA (301 nucleotides) under uncultured bacterium. RNAcentral describes it as "partial 16S ribosomal RNA". It matches the Rfam family "Bacterial small subunit ribosomal RNA", at positions 509 to 808 of the family's 1533-position model. The record is from RNAcentral.